ACAAGACAAAAUACUGUAAGCAGGGUGGAUGGCUCUGUGUGAUGGUCUUGGUUGCAUACUCCCCUUCACUAAGGUCAAACAAAACCCAAAAGUCUCUUGUAAACACCUCUCAUUUUCAUUGUCCAUGUGGAGAAGCUCAAAGCUUUCAUUUGGCCCAAGUGACAUCCUAACCACUUUACAGCCUGUUCAGGUCCACUUUAUAAUAUUGCACACGUUGGAAAUGAAACUGGCGCUUAUGACUCCCAGAAGUAUAAAUUUUAAUGAAGAUUCUAAAAACUUUAUCUUGGCCCUGUGAUGGUGCAGAUUGAAAAAAAUUUCCAUUUCUGACAUGUCUAUAAUGAACUUCAUUGCUGCUUUUUAAAAAUUUUUCCUUUUGAUAAGAAAUUAAAGACUGAUUUCCUCUCUACAAAAGAAAAUGCCACUUUAUUCCCCAUACACACCCUCUCUCUUAGUAAAACAACUCUGAUUUUUAUAGCUGGGCAUCUUGCCACCCAGUUAAAGAUGUAUUCCCUUGCAGCUAAAUAAGGCCAAGUGACUAUGCUCUUGCCAAUAAUAUGUAAACUGAAGUGUAGCAAGGUACUUUUGGGAAGUCUCUUUAAAAAGCAUCAUUUCUUUUGUAUUUGUCCCUUCAUCUUCCUGCUACUCAAGAUGUGCAUAUAAUGGCAGGCACUUCUGUAGGCAUUUUGGAUCAUGAAAUGUCUUUGAUGGAAACUAAGAAAAGUAGAGAAACAGAAUUGAAGGUUUCACAAUUCUAAAACCUUUGUAAAAGUUUUGUAAAAGGUUUUACAAUUGAAGGUAAUUAAUAUUACACUAUUAAUUAUAGUAAAGGUCAUGCUUCUGUGGAAAAAAAAAAGAGUCCCUUGACAUGAUGGUUCAAACAAGUUAGGAAAGGCAGACUGUGCUUCUCAAAAUCAGCCAGAGAAUCAGACUGGCUGAGCACACUGCCAUCCUCAAUGCAUGGCUUCUAGAUUGCUUUAGCCUUUAUCAUUUGAAGCCAAUAGGAAGCAAGGAGAACAUCAAAGCACAUAAUUAAUGACCGAAAGCAUCCAUCACUUCUGCUCAAAUCAUUUUGGGAAUGUCAUAGUCUUCUUGAUCACACUUGAAUGCUGGGGAAGCUAAGCAGUGUAGUACAACUGGACAAUCAGUUCCUGUGUCCAAGAACUUUUUAAAGACAGUAGGGUAGAAUGCUUACUUGUAAUCAAAAAGCAGUCUCCACCAAAACUGUAGGUCUUCAUAUUCUAUCCAGAUGGUAAAAAGUUAACUUUUCUCUUGUUUAGCUUACUACACGCCGGGCCUUUAUUAUUUAUAGUUGAACAUCAUCUUCAUUGAUAUACCCCUUUUAUGUUUUUUCAAUGAACCUCAUCUGUAAAUCAUUAACUGGAUUAUUAGAUAAGUGCUAAAUAAUCCCCAGCUGUAAAAUUCUAAGAAUAAUUAAAACUUCCUUUCUUAACAUUCUUAGUGAACAACUUACAGGUUAAAAAACAAACCCAAAGAGAUUAUUUCCUGCAAAGAGCCUUUAGUAUGGUAGCACCUACUUCUAGAAGGCCUGUCAUAAACUGUCAUCUAGUGAAAGUGAUGAAGAAGAGUGGCUGGGAGUCAAUCUUAUCAGGAGCUGGAACAGGUGAAGCCCUCACCAGUGAAAAAUCUUGACAGAUGCAGCUACUAAGAUUUCCUACUACAAAGAAUAACAGCAGUUAGAAAAGCAGACUCCCUGUGGUGGCGACCAGUAUCUUCAAACUCAUACCAGAGUAAAGCCUUAUCCAUUUGGAGUUCUUUCUGAUGCAUUAUGUGAGAAAAACAAGCAAACAAAUGAACACUUAUUUGUAUUUGAAUUGCACUAAAUUUAUACAUGAAACUGAAAAAAACUGAUAUCUUUAUGAAGCUGCAUAAUCCUAUCCAAGGACAGACGUCUCCUUCCAUUUGCUUUUGCUUUACUAAUUUGAAUCUAUGUUAUUUGUUUUGGAUACAUCUGGAAUUGACUUUUUUGCAUGGUGUAAGAAAUAACAGUUCUUCCUGGAUCAGCCCUCUCCCGUCUGUCAUCUCCAACAGAUACAAAGCCAGCUUUAAGAAGACCAAACCUACAAAAAUCAUUCAUGCUUUCUGCCUCCAUGUUUUUCUUUCCAACCUAGUUCCUCCAGAAAAUGUAAAAGAGCAACCGAACCGUCAACUGGUACAAUGACUUCUACACAUCAGACCUCGGCCACGCCACAGUCAUCAGAUUAUUCUAUCACAGGGUCUCUCAACCGUGGAAUAUGGUCUCCAAGGGAAACAAGCCACAGAGGGCUCAGGAGCAUUGCUAUAAAGAGUAGGCAAAUGGAAAUCUUUCCCCAAAGGGCACACUGGGAUUGUUAGGCGAGGGCUGCUCAAUCCAUUAAAAGUUUAAACUCGAAAAAAAAAAAGAAAAAAAAAACCUUUUGAAAAAAUACAGAAAGCAACCUGUUCUAGAUUUUGUGUAUAAAAGAGAGUUUAUUCAGGGGACUGAAAUGUUGACAGUGAAUCAACUGGGAGGAUAUUUUCAAUCAGAACCGUCUGACUGACAGCUUUCAUAUUAUUAAUGCACAUACUAGGAGACAUCAAAUUUGAAGGGCAGGCAUUGUGCUAAGUCAGACUUCUACCUUAAAAUGCAUUACAUUUUGUCUGUAAAUCAAGGUCAGUUAUUAAAUUAAGGUGCUCUCAUCCCUAAAUACUUUAUUCCAUCAUCGUGUGUAAUUAAUCACAAACCCCUUACUUGGGGUUCUUUAGAAAGUGAUGAGCAAAACCCAUAAAAAAUUAAGAGAAAAAAUAACAGGUAUCUUUUAAAAAACAGGGAAUAAGUGCAAGGAAAUUUAAGUAUAAGUAAAAAAAUUUGCACGAUUCUUUAAAUAGAUAAUAGAUAUAAUAAUAAUAAUUUUGCAGCCCUACAAUUCCACAGCAUAUUAAUCUUUUCAAAUCUGUUAUUUUUCACCAUUAAAACAAUCAUGUAAAACAGGUGGAGUACUUCAAUAUUCCAAUUUCACAGAUGCAUACACUGAGUCAAGGAAAAGUUAAGUAUCUAUUAAGUCAUCCAGCUUACUGGAUAUGGAACUGAGACUUGAAAGCAUAUCUUCUAAAUCCGACCUCUUCUCUAAAGAUAGUGUCACCUUUCUCCAAAGAUAGUGUCAGGACAUAGAAAGCAGAAGUUAAACUGUAUGCGCUAUUCUGCCUUCCAUACUUAUUUUUCCCAAGAAGUAAUUUAAAAAACACAUUGGAGAUAAUGCUUGUGAAGCACUUUGCUAAAUGCUAAAUUGUCCGAACACUUUGGAAAAAAGUGGCAGUUUCUUAAAAAAUUAACAAAGAAUUACCAUAUGACCCAGCAAUUCCACUCCUAGCCAUGUACUGAGGAGAACUGAAAAUAUAUGUCCAUGUAAAAACUUAGAGUUAAAUAUUUGUAGCAGCUUUAUUUAAAAUAGCCAAAAAGUGGAAACAACCCCCCAAAAAUGUGCCUCAGUGAUGGAUGUAUAAAUAAAACAUGUUGUAUACAUAACAAUGAAAUAUUAUUUAGCCACAAAAAGAAAUGAAGUUUCUUUUUAUAUUAGUUGGCCAUAAAAAGAAAUAAAGAGUUUUUUGUUUUGUUUUGUUUUGUUUUUUUGUAGCAUGUACUGACCUGGAAAACCUCAUGCUAAGUGAAAGAAGGCAGUUACAAAGGACCACAUAUUUUUGAUACCAUUUAUAUAACAUGUCUAGAACAGGCAAAUCUAGAGAGAUGGAAAGUAGGUUAGUGGUUGGCUAGUACUAGAGUAAGCAAGCAGGGAUUGGAGGGUAUUGGCUAAGGAAUACAGGGUUUCUUUCUGUGGUGCUUUUCUUAAAAAGUUCUAAAAUUGAUUGUUGUGUUGUUUGCACAAUGCUGUGAAUAUCCUAAAAGCUACUGAAUGAUACACUUUAAAUGGGUGAAUUAUAUGGUAGGUAGAUUAUGUCUCAAUAAAACU
Long non-coding RNA from Homo sapiens (human), 3944 nucleotides. Lineage: Eukaryota; Metazoa; Chordata; Mammalia; Primates; Hominidae. The record is from Ensembl.